Molecule: ribosomal RNA, 567 nt
Filed under: Tigriopus californicus
Lineage: Eukaryota; Metazoa; Arthropoda; Copepoda; Harpacticoida; Harpacticidae
Description: small subunit ribosomal RNA
Source: RNAcentral
UUUAGCUUUAGUAACAAUUUUUAUGAACAAGGUUAAGACUCUCAAUUUUUAGUUUUCUUAGAGUGAUUACUAUAUUGGCGGAGAAUCAAGUGCCAGCACCCGCGGUUAUACUUGGGCUAAAAGUUAAACAAUAAACGUAAACAAACCUUAUAUUAUUUUGUCCUCUAAUUAAGUAGGGUGAAAAAUUUUAUAAGCCCUUCACGUGAACCGGAGUUGUGCCCGGGUAAUAGGGCAUAAAUAUAGUUGGGUAUAAACUCAAAUUUUGUGGCUGUUUUGAUGAACAAGAAUAGAGAAAUUUGAGUUUUGGCUAAUCCCCCGUAUUGUCUUCCUUUUAAUAGUCUGAGUGUGGUUGUCUAAAAAUUCCCCAAUCUUAAAAUUUAUGGUCAGAUAACAUUCAACUUAAAAGGCUUACUCGAAUUGCAAAAAAAAGAUUUAAUAAGUUUUUUAGAAAUUUUUAGGAUUUAUAAGUAAACGUAAAACGUUGAAUAUAACGCAUAAAAGCACAUAUUGUCCGUCACUCUCGUAAUGAGAUAAGUCGUAGCAAAGUAACUCUUGCAGAAGCAGGAG